This 1091-nucleotide long non-coding RNA is filed under the name Triticum aestivum (bread wheat). Its description in RNAcentral is "long non-coding RNA (TAES_LNC000210)". The record is from RNAcentral. Lineage: Eukaryota; Viridiplantae; Streptophyta; Magnoliopsida; Poales; Poaceae.
UCGCUUGUUUAGUAUAGUACAACAAAUCUCUAUCUCUACUAUACUUAAAAAAAAGAUUAAGGUUCCUUCUCCUACCGCCGGACCAUGUUCUGCCCUCCCUUUGUGCACCUCCCCGUGUUCGGUUUCCUGCCCGCUCACCCCGCCUCUAUUUUUCUCGUGAAAAGAAACCCUUGAGAAAAUAUGAGCCAUCCCGAUCCAAAUCUCUAUGUCCCAUCCCGAUCUGGCCGCCGCCACCAUUGUCGACGCCACCUACCCUUCCCUUUCUUCUCGCAAGCGACGGAUGAGAUCGUCGUCUCAAGCAGCGCGCCACGCGCUUGGCCCCGCCCACGGACGCAGAGCACCUACGUCCAGCUUGUGAGUUGUGACCCAGCGAUUCGAUGCGAACGCCAUGAGGUACUUCUCCUAUGGCGCCCCCCGUCCACCGGCUUCCUCCAGGUCUUGAAGCUCCUCUCAUCUCUCUCGUGUGCUCUACCCUCCUCCUUUCGAGAUAUCUCCCUCCCCGAACAUGUGUUCCCCCCUCCCAAUUCACUCUCGCCCAUCUCCCGAUCCAUCGCAGGUUUCUCUCUUUCCCAUGUGCUGGCGCCAAAUCAUGGACUCCGGGAACGGUGGGGCAUAGGCGACUGGCCCUAUUCCCCUUUCCAUUCUUGCGGGGUCUCUCCCGGCGUCUCUUUUCUCGUCUCUGCUGAGUCGGCCAAACGACGACUAUUAAGGAUGCGUGAGGAGGCGAUUCCGGGAGGGUGUGGGUGCGCGGCUGGCUAACGCCCUAACUGCGAUUUGCUGCAGCUUGUGGCCUUGAUUCCUGCUCUGAUUGAUGCGUGCGUGGUGUUGGUAAUAUGCGUGCGUGUGGUGUUGGUAUUCCCCGCCUGAGAGAUGCGUGCAUGGUGUUGGUAGAUGUAGUGCUGUGUUGACCGAGGUGUGCUUGUUCUUAGAUUGAUGCAAGACCUGCAAACUGAUGUCCCCUCUCUGACACAUGUAAUUCAGAUGCAUGUGUGAUCUGUACUGCCACGUCCCUAUCUGUUGCAUAAUUUUCAUGACAACCAGCAAAUAGGAGCAGCCCUUGGUGAUGGAAGAGGGAGAAGCGAUGGGAUUCA